UGGAGAGUUUGAUCCUGGCUCAGAACGAACGCUGGCGGCGUGCCUAACACAUGCAAGUCGAACGGUAACAGGACNNNNNNNNNNNNNNNNNNNNGCCCAUAAGUGGGGAACAACUUGGAGAAAUCCAAGCUAAUACCGCAUAAUACCUUCGGGUUAAAGAGGGGGAUCUUCGGACCUCUCGCUUAUGGAUGGUCCCGCGUCUGAUUAGCUAGUUGGUAGGGUAAUGGCCUACCAAGGCAAUGAUCAGUAGCUGGUCUGAGAGGAUGAUCAGUCACACUGGAACUGAGACACGGUCCAGACUCCUACGGGAGGCAGCAGUGGGGAAUUUUGCACAAUGGGCGAAAGCCUGAUGCAGCGACGCCGCGUGCGGGAAGAAGGCCUUCGGGUUGUAAACCGCUUUCAACAGGGAAGAAGGAAUGAGAGCUAAUACCUCUCUGCCUUGACGGUACCUGUAGAAGAAGCACCGGCUAAUUUCGUGCCAGCAGCCGCGGUAAUACGAAAGGUGCAAGCGUUGUUCGGAUUUACUGGGCGUAAAGAGAUCGUAGGUGGCUUGUUAAGUCGGAUGUGAAAUCCCGGGGCUCAACCCCGGAACUGCAUCCGAUACUGGCAGGCUUGAGUUUGGGAGGGGUAAGCGGAAUUCCGUGUGUAGCAGUGAAAUGCGUAGAUAUACGGAGGAACACCUGAGGCGAAGGCGGCUUACUGGA
RNAcentral lists this ribosomal RNA (704 nucleotides) under Zetaproteobacteria bacterium CG23_combo_of_CG06-09_8_20_14_all_59_86. Its description in RNAcentral is "partial 16S ribosomal RNA". It matches the Rfam family "Bacterial small subunit ribosomal RNA", at positions 1 to 733 of the family's 1533-position model. The record is from RNAcentral. Lineage: Bacteria; Pseudomonadati; Pseudomonadota; Candidatius Mariprofundia.